CAGCAACCUCUUGUGGUAUCCAGGGGCAAGUUUCCCCUAGGUACAGAUCCAGGAUCAGCUUCAAGCUUGGGCGGUAUACCAUAUAAACCGUAUACCGGGUAUAUGGAAAUAUCCACGGGAUGGUUUUUCAAUACCAUCUGAAAAUGUUUUUCAAUUACAUGUGAAUAUUUGUAGUUACUUUUACAGUAAAUACCUGCAGUGAACUUGUGCAACAAGAUAUAGCAUAUAGAUAAAGCAUAUUGCGUUCUGCAUUUUACCAGUCACAUUAUUUUACAUUAUGAAGCUUUACCGUGAGUUCCCCCAGAACAGUUGAGCCAGUCACAUUAUUUUACAUUAUGAAGCCUUACCGUGAGUUCCCCCAGAACAGUUGAGCCAGUCACGUGUGUUUUACAUUAUGAAGCUUUACCGUGAGUUCCCCCAGAACAGUUGAGCCAGUCACAUUAUUUUACAUUAUGAAGCCUUACCGUGAGUUCCCCCAGAACAGUUGAGCCAGUCACGUGUGUUUUACAUUAUGAAGCUUUACUGUGAGUUCCCCCAGAACAGUUGAGCCAGUCACGUGUGUUUUACAUUAUGAAGCCUUACCGUGAGUUCCCCCAGAACAGUUGAGCCAGUCACGUUAUUUUACAAUAUGAAGCUUUACCGUGAGUUCCCCCAGAACAGUUGAGCCAGUCACGUGUGUUGUGUAAAUAGCACAACAGGAGAAAGCUGUGUAUUGACGGGGUCGCGUUUUAUAUUGAGAGUGUUUUUUUUGUUUCAAUAGAGUUUAUUUUAACUUUAUUUUACUAGGCAAGUCAGUUAAGAACAAAUUCUUCUUUUCAAUGACGGCCUACUGGGGAACAGUGGGUUAACUGCCUGUUCAGGGGCAGAACGACAGAUUUGUACCUUGUCAGCUCUGGGAUUUGAACUUGCAACCUUUCGGUUACUAGUCCAACACACACUAGGCUACCCUGCCGCCCCUAGUGAUCAGGGAUGUGCAACUAUAGUUUUCCUUCACAGAAAAUACAUUAGUGCAACGUAUUCGGUGGAAAAUAGCUUAAUUUAUCAGAUGACAACAGAAGUGCAAUGCUAUUUGACUUGCAGCCACACAGGUAAAUUAAUCUCUGGACCUCACACAUACUGUAAGGUUCCUCAUCUCUGUACCCCACACAUACUGUAAGGUCCCUCAUCUCUGUACCCCACACAUACUGUAAGGUCCCUCAUCUCUGUACCCCACACAUACUGUAAGGUCCCUCAUCUCUGUACCCCACACAUACUGUAAGGUCCCUCAUCUCUGUACCCCACACAUACUGUAAGGUCCCUCAUCUCUGUACCCCACACAUACUGUAAGGUCCCUCAUCUCUGUACCCCACACAUACUGUAAGGUCCCUCAUCUCUGUACCCCACACAUACUGUAAGGUCCCUCAUCUCUGUACCCCACACAUACUGUAAGGUCCCUCAUCUCUGUACCCCACACAUACAAUUAUCUGUAAGGUUCAUCAGUCGAGAAGUGAAUUUCAAACACAGAUUCAACCACAAAGACCAGGGAGGUUUUCCAAUGCCUCGCAAAGAAGGGCACCUAUUGGUAGAUGGGUAAAAAAUACAAAUAAAUUGACAUUGAAUAUC
Long non-coding RNA from Oncorhynchus keta (chum salmon), 1602 nucleotides. RefSeq lists it as uncharacterized. NCBI's taxonomy places the organism in Eukaryota, Metazoa, Chordata, Actinopteri, Salmoniformes, Salmonidae. The transcript is spliced from 2 exons. The record is from RefSeq and is a predicted model, not a curated record.